RNAcentral lists this unclassified non-coding RNA (379 nucleotides) under uncultured Paenibacillaceae bacterium. RNAcentral's name for it is "contains 16S-23S intergenic spacer region". Lineage: Bacteria; Bacillati; Bacillota; Bacilli; Caryophanales; Paenibacillaceae. The record is from RNAcentral.
UCCGGUUUGUCACCGGCAGUCUAUCUAGAGUGCCCACCAUAAUGUGCUGGCAACUAAAUAUAAGGGUUGCGCUCGUUGCGGGACUUAACCCAACAUCUCACGACACGAGCUGACGACAACCAUGCACCACCUGUCUCCUCUGUCCCGAAGGCCGCCACUAUCUCUAGUGGAUUCAGAGGGAUGUCAAGACCUGGUAAGGUUCUUCGCGUUGCUUCGAAUUAAACCACAUACUCCACUGCUUGUGCGGGUCCCCGUCAAUUCCUUUGAGUUUCAGUCUUGCGACCGUACUCCCCAGGCGGAGUGCUUAAUGUGUUAACUUCGGCACCAAGGGUAUCGAAACCCCUAACACCUAGCACUCAUCGUUUACGGCGUGGACUAC